Molecule: ribosomal RNA, 435 nt
Filed under: uncultured bacterium
Lineage: Bacteria
Description: bacterial SSU rRNA
Rfam family: Bacterial small subunit ribosomal RNA
Source: RNAcentral
AACGAACGCUGGCGGCAGGCCUAAAACAUGCAAGUCGAACGGGUGUAGCAAUACAUCAGUGGCGCACGGGUGAGUAACGCGUGGGAACGUGCCCUUCAGUACGGGACAACGUCGGGAAACUGACGCUAAUACCGUAUAAUGACUCCGGUCCAAAGAUUUAUCGCUGAAGGAGCGGCCCGCGUCUGAUUAGCUAGUUGGUGAGGUAAUGGCUCACCAAGGCUACGAUCAGUAGCAGGUCUGAGAGGAUGAUCUGCCACACUGGGACUGAGACACGGCCCAGACUCCUACGGGAGGCAGCAGUUAGGAAUAUUGGACAAUGGGCGAAAGCCUGAUCCAGCCAUGCCGCGUGUGUGAUGAAGGCCCUAGGGUUGUAAAGCACUUUCGUUGGGGAUGAUAAUGACCGUACCCAAAGAAGAAGCACCGGCUAACUUCGUG